AUUGAAACAUCGGUUCCCGUACGAUCACCAAAGUUAAGCAACGUAGAGCCUGAUCAUUACCUAGAUAGGUGACUGCUUGGGAAUACAAAGUGCAGUA
Molecule: ribosomal RNA, 97 nt
Filed under: Acanthosepion pharaonis
Lineage: Eukaryota; Metazoa; Mollusca; Cephalopoda; Sepiida; Sepiidae
Source: RNAcentral